GAGUCGAGUUGUUUGGGAAUGCUGCUCAAAAUGGGAGGUAAACCCCUUCUAAAGCUAAAUACUGGCCAGAGACCGAUAGCGCACAAGUAGAGUGAUCGAAAGAUGAAAAGCACUUUGAAAAGAGAGUUAAAAAGCACGUGAAAUUGUUGAAAGGGAAGCGUUUGCGACCAGACUUGCGCCCGUCGGCUCAGCCGUCCCUCGUGGGCGGUGCACUCCGGCGGGCUCAGGCCAGCAUCAGUUCGCUGCAGGGGGAGAAAGGCGGUGGGAAUGUGGCUCUUCGGAGUGUUAUAGCCCGCCGCGUAAUACCCCUCGGCGGACUGAGGACCGCGCGUAAGCAAGGAUGCUGGCGUAAUGGUCGUCAGCGACCCGUCUUGAAACACGG
This 382-nucleotide ribosomal RNA is filed under the name Lophotrichus fimeti. RNAcentral's name for it is "LSU rRNA". It matches the Rfam family "Eukaryotic large subunit ribosomal RNA", at positions 262 to 664 of the family's 3401-position model. Lineage: Eukaryota; Fungi; Ascomycota; Sordariomycetes; Microascales; Microascaceae. The record is from RNAcentral.